CCUAAACAGAUGAGGGUGAUGACAACUACUGACCUCACCACCUUUGUGAGAUGUGUUAUUUACACUGAAUGUGCUUUGCUGCUGUCAGAGUCAGAGAAUCCUACCGAGUCUUCUGUGCUGCAAGCUCCUGUACAACAGUCCAAUGAUGACGUCUGUGCUGUGGUAUUUGGUGUCAGUGCUGGCAUUUUGCACCACGAGCCUAGUUUGUGCUUUUGGGAUCAGCGCCGACAAGACUUCCUAUUACGCAUUCAAAGGAUCGAGCGUCAUUCUUGACUGCAAGUCCACACGUCCCUCUGGCUUCUUAAAGUGCUCGGCAGUUGAUUGGGAAUUUCUAAUUCCAAAAUAUUUUUAUUGAUGGAUGACGGCCAAAUGUAUGUUGAGCACAAACCUUUGAAGGACAGGGUUAAGUUCACUUCCCCCAACCCUUGUGAUGGAGAUGCUUCCAUAAGGAUCACCGACCUGCGUAUGUCAGACACGGGGAAGUACGUGUGCAACUUGAGAGAGAAUGCUCGAUAUUUGUGGAAAAACAUGACCCUGACAGUCAUGUAGGAGCUGAGCACACCGGUAUGUGCCGUGCAAGGAGAGCCUGUGGCAGGUAAUGUUGUGACGCUCCAAUGCACAUCCUCACAAGGCACACCCCCGCUGAAGUACAGCUGGACAAAGACGAGUGUAAACCAGAUGUUACCUCCUAACUCCGGGGUCGGCAACCCGCGGCUCUAGAGCCGCAUGCGGCUCUUUAGCGCCGCCCUACUGGCUCUCUGGAGAUUUUUCAAAAAUGUAUGAAGAAUGGAAAAAGAUGAGGGGAAAAAAUCUAUUUUUUUGUUUUAGUAUGGUUUCUGUAGGAGGACAAACAUGACACAAACCUCCCUAAUUGUUAUAAAGCACACUGUUUAUAUUAAACAUGCUUCACUGAUUCGAGUAUUUGGCGAGCGCCGUUUUGUCCUACUUAUUUUGGCGGUCCUUGAACUCACCGUAUAGUUUGUUUACAUGUAUUGAUUGAUAUAACUUUCUCCGACUUUCUAGGACGUGUUUUAUGCCACUUUUUCUGUCUCAUUUUGUCCACCAAACUUUUAACGUGGUGCGUGAAUGCACAAAGGUGAGUUUUGUUGAUGUUAUUGACUUGUGUGGAGUGCUAAUCAGACAUAUUUGGUCACUGCAUGACUGCAAGCUAAUCGAUGCUAACAUGCUAUUUAGGCUAGCGAUGUGUACAUAUUGCAUCAUUAUGCCUCAUUUGUAGCUAUAUUUGAGGUCAUUUAGUUUCCUUUAAGUCCUCUUAAUUACAUUUAUAUCAUGACACAUGUAAUAUGGCUUUUAAUUUUUUGCGGCUCCAGACAGAUUUGUUUUUGUAUUUUUGGUCCAAUAUGGCUCUUUCAACAUUUUGGGUUGCCGACCCCUGUCCUAACUCCACCGAGGAUACCUCAGGAGGUACCUUGUUGGUCAACAGGCUCUCAGAAGACUACUGCGGAAGUUAUCUCUGCACGGUGGAAAGUCUGAAUGAUACCAAACACUGUGAGAUCCUACUUGAGUGUCCAUCCUCACCUCCGACCACAAGCGAUGCAACCAAACACAAUGAGGUCCUACCAAUGAGUCUAUGGUCACCAUUAGAGACGAGCAAUGGAAAUCAAGUAGUCAUAGCAGUGGCAGUGACUAUCAUUGUUCUCCUAUCUCUGGCCAUUGUCUUCGCUCUCAGUCAUUUGGGUGUUGCGCAAAAUAAAUGGUGGCAAGGUUGCUAUAAAAACGCCAUUUAGUGGCGUCCCCUCUUCAAAGUGGUCUUUCGGUGAGGGACAAGCUGUAUGAAACGGAGAUUACAUUAUUGUGUACUAAUUAGUACAAUACAACUUUAAAAAACAUUGUGUGUGCUGCGUUGAUAGUAUCAUAGUACAGCACACACAAAGAUCGUAACUGCUCAAUAUCUGAUGUUUUGUCUUUGUGUUCUUUUAAAUAUUAAUAAAAUAUACUAUAUUGCCAAAAGUAUUUGGCCACCUGCCUUGACUCACAUAUGAGAAGUGCCAUCCCAUUCCUAACCCAUAGGGUUCAAUAUGAUGUCGGUCCACCUUUUGCAGCUAUUACAGCUUCAACUCUUCUGGGAAGGCUGUCCACAAGGUUGCGGAGUGUGUUUUUAGGAAUUUUCCACCAUUCUUCCAAAAGCGCAUUGGUAAGGUCACACACUGAUGUCGGUGGAGAAGGCCUGGCUCUCAGUCUCCGUUCUAAUUCAUCCCAAAGGUGUUCUAUCGGGUUCAGGUCAGGUCAGAACUCUGUACAGGCCAGUCAAGUUCAUCCACACCAGACUCUUGUCAUCCAUGUCUUUAUGGACCUUGCUUUGUGCACUGGUGCACAGUCAUGUUGGAAGAGGAAGGGCCCCGCUCCAAACUGUUCCCACAAGGUUGGGAGCAUGGAAUUGUCCAAAAUGUUUUGGUAUCCUGGAGCAUUCAAAGUUCCUUUCACUGGAACUAAGGGGCCAAGCCCAACUCCUGAAAAACAACCCCACACCAUAAUUUCUCCACCAAAUUUCACACUCUGCACAAUGCGGUCCAAAAUGUAGCGUUCUCCUGGCAACCUCCAAACCCAGACUCGUCCAUCAGAUUGACAGAUAGAAAAGCGUGAUUCAUCACUUCAGAGAAAACGUCUCCACUGCUCGAGUCCAGUGGCGACGUGCUUUACACCACUGCAUCCCACGCUUUGCAUUGGAUUUGGUGAUGUACGGCUUAGAUGCAGCUGCUCGGCCAUGGGAAACCCAUUCCAUGAAGCUCUCUGCGUACUUUACGUGGGCUAAGUGGAAGGUCGCAUGAAGUUUGGAGCUCUGUAGCAACUGACUGUGCAGAAAGUCUUUGAACUGUGCAGAAAGUCUUUGGACUGUGCAGAAAGUCUUUGGACUAUGCGCUUCAGCACCCGCUGACCCCUCUCUGUCAGUUUACACAUGGCCUACCACUUGGUGGCUGAGUUGCUGUUGUUCCCAAACUCUUCCAUUUUCUUAUAAUAAAGCCCACAGUUGACUUUGGAAUAUUUAGGAGCGAGGAAAUUUCACGACUGGUUUUGUUGCACAGGUGGCAUCCUAUGACAGUUCCACGCUGGAAAUCACUGAGAGCGGCCCAUUCUUUCACAAAUGUUUGCAGAAACAGUCUCCGUGCCUGAGUGCUUGAUUUUAUACACCUGUGAUUAGGACACCUGUUUCUGAUCAUUUGGAUGAGUGGCCAAAUACUUAUGGCAAUAUAGUGUAUUUGUGUGUACCAGCUUUAAGGUAGACCAGGAAUGUCAAACGUACGGCCCGAGAGAUGAGUUUGCAAAGUAAAAAACACUUAGUGAUAGUAUAAGAAAUGUGGAUUGUUACGUUCAUGCCUUGAUUGUCAAAGAUGAUGCUGGUAACGUCGUUUAUACUCAAAUAAAUGCUUUUGAUAAAUCUGUACAUUUUGUGUUGUACUAAUG
This is a long non-coding RNA of Entelurus aequoreus (snake pipefish), 3423 nucleotides long. RefSeq lists it as uncharacterized. The transcript is spliced from 3 exons. Lineage: Eukaryota; Metazoa; Chordata; Actinopteri; Syngnathiformes; Syngnathidae. The record is from RefSeq and is a predicted model, not a curated record.